CAAACCAUUAUUUAAAUUAAAGUUGAUUAAAAUUUUUUAUAAUUUCAGUACUUUCUAGGAACUAAAAAAACUUCUAAGCCAAGUAAUACUUGUACCUUUUGCAUUAUGGUUUAACUAUAAUAUACAAUAAUAAAGUCCCGAAGUAAGAAGAGCUGAACUAAUCCUGCUUGGAGCCCAGUAGUAUAUGUUGCAUCAUGUUUGCUAGAGAUUCUUCAGAGGCUACAUACCAUUCGCGCCUUAUUAUAGCUGGCUUUUCAUAAAACCUAUCAAAGUAGAUUAAACAUUAACAUGUUAUUUUAUAUGUUUGGGGCUAAGCUGAAACAUAAAUAAAUUUAUUCUUUUUUAAAAUUUUAUAUUACAAAUAGACCUAAUAUUGGCCUUAAAACUUUAUAAUUUCUAUCUAAAUAAAAAAAAUUUAUUAAUAAAAUAAAACUUCUAAUGAAAACCCUAGUUAACUAACAUCAAAAGAAACGCUGUUAAAAUUAGUAUUUCCUAAUCUUUUCUAUAAAAAUAAAUUAUUAGAAAAAUUUUUAGUAUAAUAAUAUAAAAAUAAGGAACUCGGCAAAUACUAGCUCCGGCUGUUUAUCAAAAACAUCGCCUCCAGAUAAUUUAUUGGAGGUCCAUUCUGCCCUAUGCCCUACGGGGUAAAUGGCCGCGGUAGCCUGACCGUGCUAAGGUAGCAUAAUCAUUUGCCGUUUAAUUGAUGGCUGGAAUGAAUGAAUAUACGAGAGCUAAGCUGUCUCAUUUUUACAAAUAAAAAUUGACCUUUAAGUGAAGAGACUUAAAUUUAAAAAAAAGACGAAAAGACCCUAUAGAGCUUUAUCUAAUUUAUAUGUAACAUAUAAUAAAGAUUUAGUUGGGGCAACUAGAGAGAAUCUAAAACCUCUCUUCAUUAAAAUAAAUAAUGAUCCGUUAUAACGAUAAGAAGAAAAAGCUACCUUAGGGAUAACAGGCUAAUCCUCUUUAAGAGACCAUAUUGACAAGAGGGAUUGGCACCUCGAUGUUGGCUCAAGGUUACAGUUUGAUGCAGCAGUCAAACUAAGUAGGUUUGUUCACCCUUUAAAUCCUUACGUGAGCUGAGUUCAGACCGACGUAAGUCAGGUCAGUUUUUAUCUUUUUAACUCCCUUCAAUUGUACGAAAGGACCUUGAUGGGGAAAUAUUUUCUAAUUUUGAUACCUAAUAACACAAGUUUAUAAAUAAUCUUAUU
This 1208-nucleotide ribosomal RNA is filed under the name Polydora cf. ciliata DS-2023. RNAcentral's name for it is "16S ribosomal RNA". The stretch from base 793 to 1118 matches the Rfam family "Bacterial large subunit ribosomal RNA", at positions 2074 to 2646 of the family's 2925-position model. The record is from RNAcentral. Lineage: Eukaryota; Metazoa; Annelida; Polychaeta; Spionida; Spionidae.